Molecule: ribosomal RNA, 468 nt
Filed under: uncultured bacterium
Lineage: Bacteria
Description: partial 16S ribosomal RNA
Rfam family: Bacterial small subunit ribosomal RNA
Source: RNAcentral
GACGAACGCUGGCGGCGUGCUUAACACAUGCAAGUCGAACGGAAAGGCCCUGCUUUUGUGGGGUGCUCGAGUGGCGAACGGGUGAGUAACACGUGAGUAACCUGCCCUUGACUUUGGGAUAACUUCAGGAAACUGGGGCUAAUACCGGAUAGGAGCUCCUGCUGCAUGGUGGGGGUUGGAAAGUUUCGGCGGUUGGGGAUGGACUCGCGGCUUAUCAGCUUGUUGGUGGGGUAGUGGCUUACCAAGGCUUUGACGGGUAGCCGGCCUGAGAGGGUGACCGGACACAUUGGGACUGAGAUACGGCCCAGACUCCUACGGGAGGCAGCAGUGGGGAAUAUUGCACAAUGGGCGGAAGCCUGAUGCAGCAACGCCGCGUGCGGGAUGACGGCCUUCGGGUUGUAAACCGCUUUCGCCUGUGACGAAGCGUGAGUGACGGAAAUGGGUAAAGAAGCACCGGCUAACUACGUG